ACCCAGGUGGCUUAGUUGGUUAAGUGUCUGACUUCAGCUCAGGUCAUGAUCUCACAGUUCGUGAGUUCAAGCCCCACAUUGGGCU
This 85-nucleotide transfer RNA is filed under the name Felis catus (domestic cat). It matches the Rfam family "tRNA". From Rfam's summary of the family: Transfer RNA (tRNA) molecules are approximately 80 nucleotides in length. The record is from Rfam by way of RNAcentral. Lineage: Eukaryota; Metazoa; Chordata; Mammalia; Carnivora; Felidae. RNAcentral also lists the same sequence under 1 other name.